This is a long non-coding RNA of Epinephelus fuscoguttatus (brown-marbled grouper), 793 nucleotides long. RefSeq lists it as uncharacterized. Lineage: Eukaryota; Metazoa; Chordata; Actinopteri; Perciformes; Serranidae. The transcript is spliced from 3 exons. The record is from RefSeq and is a predicted model, not a curated record.
GAAAGCAUCCUGUAUCAUAACUACAUGUGUGCCGUUUGUAACAAACCAAACCGCGUGAAAAUCAGUUGAAAAUUCAGCGAGUUAUUCUAUUUUACUUGUGCAUACAGCUCCUUCCUCAAUAGAAGUGAAUGCACUGUGGAGGCGAAGCGAGACCCAUCCAAGAUGGCGGCCGGCGAGGACGCGCUCAGGCAGUCGAUGCGGCGGCUAUGUAUUUAUGUCUAUGUGUUUGAAGGCGAAAGAGAAGAGGAAAUGUAAAACGUCUCUGCAGGUGUGGACUCAGCAGGCUGUUCAUCUUGCUGAUUGGAUUCAGUACAGCUGCAGCCUAUUUAAAAUCACCUGUGCAAUGGACAAUGUAACAAACCUGAUAAAGCCAUGGGCGAAACGCGUUGUUUUGAAGACUGGAAGAUUUAAGAAGAUAAGAAGCAAUUCAGCCUCUUUGUGUGCGGUGAAUCGACUUUUCUGAUCUACUUGAUGUCUCCUGCCAUCACCUGCACCAAGGACUGAAAGUGCUGUGCACGGGACAUUUACUUUGGAAUACAUUUAGCUUACUUGAGCACUGGGUGGUGGAGGAGCAGUGAUGCUGCAGGACCACUGUGUGAGAGAGGACACUGCAGAUAAGUGCUGAGUUGACCUUGGUGAGACUUAAAACUUAACAAGCACAAGAACAACAGGGGGUUGCAAUGGAGCCUGAACUCACCCCGCAAUGAAACAACCCCCUUACCCUGAGUCUCAACUCUGUGGGUUUUGCAAGCCUUUCUCUGUUCCUUAUUUUUAAUAAACCAAACACUGAGCU